UUAAGAAAACUAAUGCAUACUCAGAAAAUGGUAUUUUAAGAAUAUUUAUACACAAAAUGGACACAUUGAAUACGCUACGUAGAAAUUCGUAAUAGAGUUGCAAAAUUGUAAAACUUACGCAGCCCAUUGCAUUCCAUUGACAGCAAAAGCAGAAGAUAUAGGGGUGUUAGGAUUGAUAUCAUAGUAAGGUACUAAACCAACCACAACAAUGGAUACUAUCAUAUACAAUCCACAACAUAGUGACAAUGAAGCUGCAAUUCCUAGUGGCAAAUCUCUCUGAGGAUUUUUCACCUGUUAAAUCAAAGUAAAACACUAUUAGACAGUUUGAACAUACUCUCAAGGUUUUUGAUGUGCUGCGACNUUUUUUUUUUCUUUUCACAAUUAAGAUUAUUGGAUGACUUUUGAAAAAAAUAAUAACGUUGUUUCUUAACUUAUGCAGCCGGUUGUCAGGUAAAUAAAUAAGGAAAUUGGAUGACGUGGCAAUUUAUUAUUGGUGUGUGUUAAAAGGGUGUGUCCCUAGCAUUUCUCAAAAAAAUAUCCAAGUUUUAUGUUUUUAAUUAGUGUUCUUUAAUUUUCUCAAAAUAAAAAAUAUAAUUAUAUUUUAUAAAUUAUCCAUCAUGAGAACUUGUGUUCUAUGAAAAUAAAAGCUUUGUUAAAAAAAAGCUUACUAUUGAAUUCAUGGUCUGAUUGAAUUCUUUGGUCAAAAUUGACGUUAUGAAGUCAAAGUUGUGGAAUUCAAGUGAGUAAGCUCUCCUACUGCAUGUGCUAUGGCACGUGUGUGUUUUUUUGUGCAGCAUCUCUGAUAAAAUUUUAUGUGAUCAAUUAUUUGGUCAAGAUUCUUAUAAAAGAAAUUGAAAGACAAUAAAAAAUAUUACUACCUCCGGUCCUAUUUAUAAGAGAAAUUUAGGUCAACAUAAAUGAAUGUAUUUGGACUGAAUUUUUAACUAGAUACAUCAACUUUUGUUGACCCAAAAUUCUCUUAUAAAUAGGACCGGAGGGAGUAUUUACUAAAAUUGACGUUAUUAUGUUACAAAAACUUUCUUUACCGAAGAUGAAUGUUAUGGUGCAGAGAAAUGCUAGCAAUACAUAUUUUAACACACAUUUUUUAAUAUAUUAUUUUUUAUUGAUUAAAAUUCAUAUGAGAUCCGGCAAAUUUAUACGGGACCCACCAAAUUUUGCGGGACAUAUGUGAAUUUUAACCAAUCAAAAAGAUUGUGUUGGAAAGUAUGUGUUAGAAUGUGGGUUGCUAGCAUUCCGUCCGUGAAACUUCUUCAAGAAUGACAUCUUGUAUGAAUCUUCUUAGCAAAUUGUUUUUGCGAUAUGCUAACAUAUGUCAUCAUAUGCCAUUACAGAAUAUGUUAAGGAUCCUAUAAAUAUCAAGUAUCUAUUGAGAAUAACUAUUGUUUCAAAUAUAAUGCUAACUGGAACGAGUUCUACAAGUGAUAUUUGUUCCCUCGACAAAAAAAAAAUGUUUGUGGUAUUCCUCUCUCACCAAACUCAAUACAAACCUCAGUAGACAUGAAAGUUUUGCAUAGGGGUGGCAAAACGAAUCUAAUCCGUCGUGUCAGCCCGUUUAGCCAAUUAUUUUUGGUAGAUUGAGUCAAAAUUUUGAACUCAUUUUUUACAGUUGGUUCGUUCCACUUAACUCGUUAAAACAAUGGGGCGGGGAGGGCCGUCCCGGUCUGCUUAACUCAUUUUUCUUUUAUUUUUAGACUUAUUUUAUCAUUUUGGAUUUAUUUUGGUUGUUAGAUUUAUUUUAUGAUUUAUUUUUUGUUGCAAAUUUGUUUUAUGUUGGCGGAUUUUCCUUCUUUUGCUAUUAAGUAUAAUUUUAAGUUCGACAAUUUGUUAAUUAUCUUGUUUUUACCACAAAUUUAUUUGUCGCCUAUUCUUUUAUAUUUUUUCAUGAUUAAAGCAACAUAGUAUUUUGUAACAUUAAAUUGUAAAAAAAAAAUGCAUUAAAAAAAUUUGUUUUUUUCUCACAAAAAAAAAAAUUGUUUGGUAGACCGGCCCGCCAACUCAUCUACCCAUCACUAAACGAGGCGGGGGUGAAAUUUUGGUCUUGAUCACCUAAUUUGAUUCGGUUUGUCUCGUCCUGUUUUAAGCAAGUUUAGACGGAAUAGACUGGUCCACUUUAUCAUCCCUAAUAUUACAUUACCGAUUAUAUUGGACUCGACCUAAAGUUAGAGGAGUCAAUCUAAUGAAUUUAAUUUGUCCUCUCUUUAAAACAAUUCAUAAAAACUCAAUAAAGCGAGUUUUUAAAUCUUAAUAUUAAUUUUUCUAAAAGAAAUAUUUUUUGAUAAGGCAAAAGUAAGUAAUAAAAUUCAAGUGAGGGCUUGAACCCUUAUACAGCCAAAGUGCAAAAAUUACACAAAAGAAAGACAGACAAGUAUAGCCACAACAGGCCAACUAUUGAUAUUUCUUUAAAAGAAAUAUUGAUAUUAAUUAUACAUUAGAUAUUUAUAUUAACAAAUUGUUGAUUGAAAAAUCAACAGUACUUUCAUGUAAUAUUCAUAAUUAACAUGAUCAAUUUCUUCUUCUCUAAGUUAAAAAAUACAAGAAGAAGCUAUGAACAUGACCUAUAAACCAUAAAUAUUUUUGCCCUAAUGAGAUAGGCUUUAAAUAAUGCUUGUGGAGGUGUAAUUAGUAGUAUCAUCAACUUGAAUAGGCUUCAAAUAAACCGUAUCUUUUAGAGAGCUGUGGGUUCUACCAUAGAAUACAUAAACAAAAACUCCUAAUACUAGCCAUACAGAUACUCGCACCCAAGUUGCACCCCUUCAAAAAUAUAAAACACAAAUUAUAGAAUUAGUUAAUAAAGUUGUGACAUUAAAGGGACAAAAAAAGGUCCUUGUGAGAGAAAAAUGCUAUAGCAAAUAAAAUUCAUAAAUGAUAUGUUAGAUAUUUUAUUAGACUAAUUCAACUCUAUAAAAUUGACUUGUAAUAUAUCAACUUGUAAUGUUAGAAUUGUCAAAGUCUUAUAAACUUCAUUUUGGGUCUAAUUUAACAUGGAUUUGAGUUCUAAAUAUCCUCAAUACUCUCUUCACCCUUAAAAACACAAUAUAAUUUUUUAUUUUUUAUUUUUUUAAAACACUAUAACAUUUUUCUUUUUCUUUUUUUUAAAAAAGUAAUGUUUUUUUACUAGGGGACCUAUCUUUACAAUUAGAGCCAAAGCCUCCAAUUUUAUAGGAACGGCCCUGAAUCUAGUCAGCACCUUUAAUGGGGUUUCCUCCUCUUAACCAUAUUUUAUUUCAUCAACAAUACUCGAACCCAAUACUUUGCUUAAGAGAUCCGAUUCAAUUACACUCGAACCAAUGUAAUAUUGAUCUUUUGUGAUAAUUUCUUUAGAGGAGUAAAUUAAUGUUAUUCUAACUUUCAGGGUUAACAAACUAAUGUCCUCAAAGACUGACUUAAUCUCACUUGAUCUUUUAGAAAUAUAUUAGAUUUCUUUAAAAAAUAUUGAACAGAAAGUCAUAUAUACUUUCAAAUUUCAAUAUAGAUACUUACCCAAGACUAAUGAGUAAAUAUGAAUUGAUAAGAAUGCAAGUUAUAGGAAGCAAAGGCACCCAUGGACAUGUGAAACCUGAAAACAAAUUGCAUAGAAACAUGACAUUAACUCACAUUGGUUGCAUAAAAUAUUACCAUAAAUAAAUGUAAACCAUACCUCCAGUGUUUCCAAAGUUGUGUCUUGCAUCAUCUUGAUCUAUACAUGUUAGGAAGACUAAGCCAGACAGAAGAAGAAUGCUACCAACUCCACAUAAUGUAAAUCUAACAUAACUGAAAAUAACAAAACAUAAAAUGUGAUUUUAGUUAUUCUUCUAGAAAUACUUAAAUGGUAUGCAACAUUAAUAAAGUAUAUAAUGUAAAUGCUACCCUCUAAACUAACCUCAGAAGAUAUGUAGAAGAAGCUGCAAAUGUAAGGACAAAUACACCUAAACAUAUGACUGCUACAACACAGCCCACAAUUGUUCUCCUAUUAACAUUAUGUACAUCUGCAUCCAUAAAUUAGAGGGAAAUAACUAAAACGAAACUAUAUAUAAUAACAAUAAAUUAGUGUAACUAAAGGAACAUUAAUUGCAUAUGUAGAGCAAUAAAUGUUAUAAUUUGCACCGACACAAACACUGAACACGACACUAGUACGUCAACACAAAUACAAUUUUAGAAAAUUGUUUAAUUUAAUGUAACCGCGUGUGUUUUUUUUUACCGCGAUGGUGUCGGACACUGACAUGUGCCCAACACCGAUACAUGUCCAACAUCAGGCGACAUGCCUUCAACGUGAUUUUGCAUGAUUGAGAAACUAAAUAGAAAAUAAAAAUCAGGACUUACAGUUAUCUAUUGCAAGAUUUUUAUCAAUUAAGGGUUUUUGGAUCGCUUCUUUUUCAUUUGUCUCCAAAUGGCUCCAACCAUACUCCAUUGACUCAGAAUCAAUUGGUUCUUGUUGAGAAUGGGGCAAUGGGACUUCAAUUGGUGGGAUAUAUCUUACUAUCAACACAGAUAUUGCUGCAAUGGUGAAUGCAAGAAGAGUACCAACACUAACCUGUAGAAGACAAGCAAAAUACACUUUAGUACUAUAAUCUAUUAUUUUAAAAACCGGACCGAACUGGCCAGAUUCAAUAUGUUAAACAUAAAACCGGCUAGUUCGUCAAUCGGUUUGUUUUCGGUUAUACUGCAGUCUGGUUGAACCACAAUCCAAUUGCAGUUGGUUCAACCGGUUGAGCCGCUAUUUCUAACAACUGCAAAUAUAGAUUAGACUUACCAUGCCAGCAAGUUGAGAGACAUCCAUGAAAAAUGCCAAGGCGGCAGCAACAAGGCCGGUAACUAUGGUACUCUUUACAGGAACAUGGCUGUGCUUAUUUAUAUCAGAAAAAAAUGGUGGCAGCAAUCCGUCCCUUGCCAUAGCCAUCAAAAUUCUUGGCUGAGAGGCAUUAAAUAAAAAGCACAUCAAUAAUUCAGCUUAAAUUUUGUUUUAGUGGAUCAUUGAUUUACUUGGAGAUAAUUUUUAUUAGGCUGAUUAUUAUAUACUUAUAGUAGGAAUUUUCUUUUUUAAAUGAAAAUUUUCGAAAAAAGAGAAGGAAUACCAAGAAACCUCAUUGAGUUUAUUUUAUUAGAGUUUAGUACUCUCUGUUUGUUUGUUAGUUUGUUUUCUUGAUGGUUGUGUUAGUGUACAUAUUAUUUUAUUUAAGUUAAUCCUUUUCAAGCCAUGUUAGUCUUAGGAGGUUGGAACAGAUGAAUGAAGCUUGUCUGAUCAAGCUAGGUUGGAAAUUGAAGAAUGGAGAUAAUGCACUUUGGUGUAGUGUGCUAAAAUGCAAGUAACAUUUCUUUGAAUAUGGUGAUAGCUAGACCGAGUGAUUCUAGUCUAUGGAAAAACUUGGUUCAUUUGUGGCCAACUAUGUGUUCUAUGGUGCGCUAGGUUGUUCGAAAUGGUGAAAGAGUUUGGGAGGAUUUAUGGGUGGAUCAAGGGUUGCGAUUUCUGAUACGGACAGUAGCAUACCAUCUGAUAUGUGUGAGUGUGACUGCAAAGCUUUAGACUUUGUCGACAUUGAUGGAGGUUGGCGGCUACACGAUCUGCAGCAGUAGCUGUCAAUUGAUAUUGUUAACAAAAUCAAAUCUAUACCAGCCCCUCAUGAAGAGCUUGGCCCGGAUAAUUGAAUGUGGCCUGGAGCUAAGUUGGUGAAUUUUUCAUAUCAUACACUUAUCAUGAAUUAUGUGGUUUCUUUAUUGAUAAUGUGUCUAAUGUUUGGACUCACGUGCGUGUGGAAAUUAAAAGUUCCAGAGAGGAUUCAAUGUUGUGUGGAUAUCAUAGAAUGCAUAUCAGUACGGAGCAUUGCUAUCAUUGUGGAGACAUCGCGGAAACAGCUUUACAUGAACAUGAAAUUUAACAGAAAUUGCAAAACAAAAUUUGAGGAGAAGAGGGUUCCAAUUAGUUUUACCUGAGGCAACAUUCCACCAAGCAAUGAUGAACAAAGUGCUGUGAUAGCCCCGGCAUUUAUAAUGUAUCUGUAAUUACAAUCAUGAAAAAUGACUUAAGAAAACUAAUGCAUACUCAGAAAAUGGUAUUUUAAGAAUAUUUAUACACAAAAUGGACACAUUGAAUACGCUACGUAGAAAUUCGUAAUAGAGUUGCAAAAUUGUAAAACUUACGCAGCCCAUUGCAUUCCAUUGACAGCAAAAGCAGAAGAUAUAGGGGUGUUAGGAUUGAUAUCAUAGUAAGGUACUAAACCAACCACAACAAUGGAUACUAUCAUAUACAAUCCACAACAUAGUGACAAUGAAGCUGCAAUUCCUAGUGGCAAAUCUC
RNAcentral lists this long non-coding RNA (6292 nucleotides) under Medicago truncatula (barrel medic). RNAcentral's name for it is "long non-coding RNA (MTRU_LNC003954)". Lineage: Eukaryota; Viridiplantae; Streptophyta; Magnoliopsida; Fabales; Fabaceae. The record is from RNAcentral.